GGAGGGGUGCAAGCGUUGUUCGGAAUUAUUGGGCGUAAAGCGCGUGUAGGCGGGCUUGGAAAGUCGGAUGUGAAAUCCCGGGGGCUCAACCCCGGAACUGCAUUCGAAACUGUCUAGCUAGAGUCUCGGAGAGGAGAGCGGAAUUCCCGGUGUAGAGGUGAAAUUCGUAGAUAUCGGGAGGAACACCAGCGGCGAAGGCGGCUCUCUGGACGAUGACUGACGCUGAGACGCGAAAGCGUGGGGAGCAAACAGGAUUAGAUACCCUGGUAGUCCACGCCGUAAACGUUGAGUGCUAGGUGUCGCGGGUAUUGACCCCUGCGGUGCCGUCGCUAACGCAUUUAGCACUCCGCCUGGGGAGUACGGUCGCAAGACUA
This 374-nucleotide ribosomal RNA is filed under the name uncultured organism. RNAcentral's name for it is "partial 16S ribosomal RNA". It matches the Rfam family "Bacterial small subunit ribosomal RNA", at positions 526 to 896 of the family's 1533-position model. The record is from RNAcentral.